UGUGUGUGUGUGUCCGUGUCUGCCUUGGUAAGGAGUAGACACAGGAUGGGAACAGGAAAUACCUCUGAAUGAAGCCCAUUUUAAAACUGAAGAGGCAGCAAUCAACAAAGGUAACGUGGGAAAUUCACCAUAGAGAAACAAACUGAGAGGAGCCCUCUACCACC
Perognathus longimembris pacificus (Pacific pocket mouse) is the source of this 164-nucleotide long non-coding RNA. RefSeq lists it as uncharacterized. The record is from RefSeq and is a predicted model, not a curated record. The transcript is spliced from 3 exons. Lineage: Eukaryota; Metazoa; Chordata; Mammalia; Rodentia; Heteromyidae.